This 396-nucleotide long non-coding RNA is filed under the name Ananas comosus (pineapple). Its description in RNAcentral is "long non-coding RNA (ACOM_LNC003480)". The record is from RNAcentral. Lineage: Eukaryota; Viridiplantae; Streptophyta; Magnoliopsida; Poales; Bromeliaceae.
UUUGCGGUGUACCGAUACCCGCUCAAUGCACUGCCGGUACCCAACCCCAGUACCGGCACUCGGCAUCCGGUACCGGUACCCAAUACUCCAGAUCUCAAACCCGAGAGCAGCUACUCUCAGUCACGCAUUAGGGUACCGAUACCUCACCCAGGUACCAGUACUCAACACCUCAAAAUCUGAAUUUACAGAUUUUGGUGCUAAGUACUCCUCCUCGCGUUCUCAAUACAUGAGUAAUUGGUCAGUACUCAGUCAACGACCUUUAAAAUCACCAGGAAUAGCGCAAAACACUAUUCUAACUCUACAAUUUGUUAAAGUUUAGUGUGCUACAGAAUAACUUAAUUUUCACCUUUAAAUAUUCUACACCAUGGUUCCAGAACAGUAUCAUAUGAUAUUCAU